RNAcentral lists this ribosomal RNA (460 nucleotides) under uncultured bacterium. Its description in RNAcentral is "partial 16S ribosomal RNA". It matches the Rfam family "Bacterial small subunit ribosomal RNA", at positions 338 to 795 of the family's 1533-position model. The record is from RNAcentral.
CCUACGGGCGGCAGCAGUGAGGAAUAUUGGUCAAUGGACGAGAGUCUGAACCAGCCAAGUAGCGUGAAGGAUGACUGCCCUAUGGGUUGUAAACUUCUUUUAUAUGGGAAUAAAAUGUUCCACGUGUGGGAUUUUGUAUGUACCAUAUGAAUAAGGAUCGGCUAACUCCGUGCCAGCAGCCGCGGUAAUACGGAGGAUCCGAGCGUUAUCCGGAUUUAUUGGGUUUAAAGGGAGCGUAGGUGGAUUGUUAAGUCAGUUGUGAAAGUUUGCGGCUCAACCGUAAAAUUGCAGUUGAAACUGGCAGUCGUGAGUACAGUAGAGGUGGGCGGAAUUCGUGGGGUAGCGGUGAAAUGCUUAGAUAUCACGAAGAACUCCGAUUGCGAAGGCAGCUCACUGGACUGCAACUGACACUGAGGCUCGAAAGUGUGGGUAUCAAACAGGAUUAGAUACCCCAGUAGUC